AGUUUGAUCCUGGCUCAGGACGAACGCUGGCGGCGUGCCUAACACAUGCAAGUCGAACGGGGUAGAGAGCUACGGUUUUCUACUUAGUGGCGAACGGGUGAGUAACGCGUGAGUAACCUGCCUUUCAGUGGGGGACAACAGUUGGAAACGACUGCUAAUACCGCAUAAAGUACUUUAAGGGCAUCCUUUGAGUACCAAAGAUUUAUUGCUGAAAGAUGGACUCGCGUCUGAUUAGCUAGUUGGUGAGGUAACGGCUCACCAAGGCAACGAUCAGUAGCCGGUCUGAGAGGAUGAACGGCCACAUUGGGACUGAGAUACGGCCCAGACUCCUACGGGAGGCAGCAGUGGGGAAUAUUGGGCAAUGGGGGAAACCCUGACCCAGCAACGCCGCGUGAAGGAAGAAGGCCUUCGGGUUGUAAACUUCUUUUACCAGGGACGAAGAACGUGACGGUACCUGGAGAAAAAGCAACGGCUAACUACGUGCCAGCAGCCGCGGUAAUACGUAGGUUGCAAGCGUUGUCCGGAUUUACUGGGUGUAAAGGGCGUGUAGGCGGAGAUGCAAGUUGGGAGUGAAAUCCCGGGGCUCAACCCCGGAACUGCUUUCAAAACUGUAUCCCUUGAGUGUCGGAGAGGCAAACGGAAUUCCUAGUGUAGCGGUGAAAUGCGUAGAUAUUAGGAGGAACACCAGUGGCGAAGGCGGCUUGCUGGACGAUAACUGACGCUGAGGCGCGAAAGCGUGGGGAGCAAACAGGAUUAGAUACCCUGGUAGUCCACGCUGUAAACGAUGAAUACGAGGUGUGGGAGGACUGCCCCCUUCCCGUGUCGCCAUUAAACACAAAUAAGUAUUCCACCUGGGGAGUAGGGCGGCAAGGGUUUAAAACUCAAAAGGAAUGACGGGGGCCCGCACAAGCAGUGGAUUAUGUGGUUUAAUUGGACGCAACGCGAAGACCCUUACCAGGAUUUGACAUCCUACUAACGAAGCAGAGAUGCAUUAGGUGCCCUUCGGGGAAAGUAGAGACAGGUGGUGCAUGGUUGUCGUCAGCUCGUGUCGUGAGAUGUUGGGUUAAGUCCCGCAACGAGCGCAACCCCUAUUGUUAGUUGCUACGCAAGAGCACUCUAUCGGGACCGCUACCGACAAGGUGGAGGAAGGUGGGGACGACGUCAAAUCAUCAUGCCCCUUAUGACCUGGGCUACACACGUACUACAAUGGCCGUAAACAAAGGGAAGCAAAGCCGCGAGGUGGAGCAAACCCCCAAAAACGGUCUCAGUUCAGAUUGCAGGCUGCAACUCGCCUGUAUGAAGUCGGAAUUGCUAGUAAUCGCGGAUCAGCAUGCCGCGGUGAAUACGUUCCCGGGCCUUGCACACACCGCCCGUCA
This 1376-nucleotide ribosomal RNA is filed under the name uncultured bacterium. Its description in RNAcentral is "bacterial SSU rRNA". It matches the Rfam family "Bacterial small subunit ribosomal RNA". The record is from RNAcentral.